Misgurnus anguillicaudatus (oriental weatherfish) is the source of this 2393-nucleotide non-coding RNA. The record is from RefSeq and is a predicted model, not a curated record. Lineage: Eukaryota; Metazoa; Chordata; Actinopteri; Cypriniformes; Cobitidae.
UUGAACCACAUCUACAAACUUAUUUUGGUGAUUUAGCCCACAAGUUACUUGAACUGGCAUGUCCAUUGUUUUUACAAUGAAUUAAAUGGCUUUUUUUUUUUUACUGCGUUUGGCACAGUAUUCAAUCCUACACGUUAUUGUACUACAGUACAGUAGGUGGCGGUAUACUGUAGUGUGCUGUUUAUGUCCGCAUCGUCAUACGCGCCAGCACCGCUGAAAGACUGUAGGAACAGAAACCCCUGGAAAGAUGAGUUCCCUAUUAAAGAGAGGCUUGAUGCUGUUUACUCCACACUCUUAGGCUGAUUUUGGAUUAUUUGUCUGUGAAGACACAGUAGUUCAGUUUCUGAAUCCCAUCAAAAAUGAAGACCUGCAGGCCACCAUAUUGAGCUGGUCUGAUGUCAUGAUAUGGCGCUUUUCCAAUGUAGGGUACAACUUGGCUCGGCACGAUGCAGCUCAGCUCGCUUUCGUUGCUUUUCCAGUACAGUUUCGUAUCGCUUCAGAGUGGGUGAGAUUAUAGGCAGGGGUGCACAUAAGGGUGUGUAUGCGCGAUUAGAAACAAUUCCAGCGUACCAACGUUGCUGGAAUUUUGUUACAUAGUUAGCUAAUUUACUGCGACAUAAGGGAUUUCAUAACGUCUCGAUCACUCCCCAGUGACUGGUCCCAGUAUAGGUCAUAAACCCCGCCUCCCCCAUGUUAUUCAAUGGGACUUGAGACCUGUUAGAUACAAAAUAAACUUCAGUAUGUAAAACGUUUUCUUUUUAUUUAUCCACCGAUAACAUUCGCUCCAACACAAGCUCCAAAACAAGAGUCACCUUUUAGCUUCCGAAAAAGGUCAUGUGAAAUAAUAAACAAUAUUUAGCAUAAAGCUAUAAUAUACAUAAACACAUUUUUAAUGUCUUAAACUUAACAAGACCAACUAAACAAUUUAAUUACACUUCAAUUAUCUUUUUUCCGAAGCUGGUUUUUGUCAUUUACUGUCGUUUUUAUCACGCUGAUGUAAAUUCAAGUGUUUGUUUUUAAAAUAAGUUUGUUUUUAGUUAGUUAGUUAAUGCUAUAAAAACGGUGGUGUCACGUCAGGAUUGACAGCUGUGUAUGCACAUUCUGGGAGAGUGAGGGCGGGGCCUUGAUUUCGCGGCUUUACUUCCUGCUCACUACUGCGCAGGACUGGUCCCGAAAUUGCUACUGCGCAGACUCAAAACCCAAGAUGUCAGCGGCGACACUGGCGGCUUCACUUUUCACCAAUGAAAGCGAGCAAGCUCUCCAGCUGCUCCUUUUAUAACCAGGACAAAAAAGUUAUGUGCACCCCUGAUUAUAGGCUUAUUGUUACAGUUGCGUCCCCUCUACUGCCGGAACAUCAUCGUAAAUGCGAUACAAACACCCACACACACACACACACACACACACACACACACACACAUGGAGCAACAGAGCAUAUUAAUGGAAUGUAGCCACAAAAUCAAAUUGACAGCCACAACUACAUUUUCCACUACCUCUCUCACAUGACAGGUUCUGUACAAACACCCGUGUCAUCGGUACCUGCACUCCGCGGACAGAACAUUUAAGCCAUGACGCCUAUAUUUUUGGUGCAUUUUGGAUGCGGAGCCAUGCGCAAAGUUACAAAAAUGCCAUGCAGACAUAGGCAUGGUGGUGUGCUCUGCAUUUUUGUAACUUUGCACAUGACUUCACAUCCGAAACCUAUUAUUCCUCUGCCAAAAGUGAGCUGUGCUGAACUGGGUCAUACUAUGCAGUGGAAAAGCGCCAAAAGUGUUCUACUUCGUGGCUUGAAGGAUUUAGGUAAGCAAAUUUAUCUGACACAUCACAACCUAAAACUUUAUAAAAAAAGUUUAAAUUUUUUCUUGCAGUGUAAACACGGCAUUUUGAUCUUAAUAUUUAUUUAUAUUUAAUGAGAUAUGGAGAUUUUUAUCUUUCACAGAUGAAUACAUUUGAGUGAGCCGUUUUUAUGUCUAAACACCGCGGUCCACCAUACAUGAAAGUCACCAUCAUGUUUCUACAGUAGCCCAAAACAGACAAACUGUUCUACAGAGCGUGUUUCGUCUAUACGUUGUCUCAAGGGCUCAUUAUAGCAAACAUACAUACAGACCGCUGGUAAGCAGUUUCCACACGUGUAACCACAGAAGCAGCUUGGCCAGUUUAACUCACAAAUAAAGAAACAGCAGAUUGUUGUGUAUGUUUUGAGAAGACCAACAGCAGUGGCGGCCGGUGACUUCUUUUUUUGAGGGCGCUCGAUGCGAAGUUCGUCACAACAUGUAUGUAGCCCGUCAUGUGUGUGGUUUCUUUUUUCAAAAUAUGUGUUCUGCGCUUUGAGAGAUCCUGUGUGCAUCACGUGUCAUGUCAAAAUAAGUGCCUGCUGCAGAUGCGUCUAAAGGGUUUAU